RNAcentral lists this RNase P RNA (370 nucleotides) under uncultured Prevotella sp. RNAcentral describes it as "Bacterial RNase P class A". It matches the Rfam family "Bacterial RNase P class A". From Rfam's summary of the family: Ribonuclease P (RNase P) is a ubiquitous endoribonuclease, found in archaea, bacteria and eukarya as well as chloroplasts and mitochondria. Its best characterised activity is the generation of mature 5'-ends of tRNAs by cleaving the 5'-leader elements of precursor-tRNAs. The record is from RNAcentral. Lineage: Bacteria; Pseudomonadati; Bacteroidota; Bacteroidia; Bacteroidales; Prevotellaceae.
GGUUCGGUCUGUCGCUGGCACCCAUACGGUGCGGGAGGAAAGUCCGGGCAGCGCAGGGCGUCCCGCUUGUUAAUAUGCAAGCUAUUGGCAACAGUAGAGUAGAGCAGAAGAAAAUAACCGCCAUGCUUCGUGUAUGGUAAGGGUGAGAAGGCGGUGUAAGAGACCACCAGAGGCAGGGUGACCUGCUGGCUGUGCUCCUCGGGAGCUGCAAGUUCAUGUAUACCGGCGUCAGAAGGUUGCCCGCCUGAAUCAAUUAUGAUGUCGUCGGAGGGUAGAACGCUAGAGUUGUUUGGUGACAUUCAGCGUAGAUAAAUGACAGACGUCUGAAUGCAAAGGCAUUCAGAUACAGGACCCGGCUUAUAGAACCUCU